GACGAACGCUGGCGGCGUGCCUAAUACAUGCAAGUCGAACGAGAGCAACCGGUGCUUGCACUGGUCAAUCUAGUGGCGAAUGGGUGAGUAACACGUGGGUAACCUGCCCAUCAGAGGGGGAUAACAUCCGGAAACGGAUGCUAAAACCGCAUAGGUCUUCGAACCGCAUGGUUUGAAGAGGAAAAGAGGCGCAAGCUUCUGCUGAUGGAUGGACCCGCGGUGCAUUAGCUAGUUGGUGAGGUAACGGCUCACCAAGGCCGUGAUGCAUAGCCGACCUGAGAGGGUGAUCGGCCACAUCGGGACUGAGACACGGCCCAAACUCCUACGGGAGGCAGCAGUAGGGAAUCUUCCGCAAUGGACGCAAGUCUGACGGAGCAACGCCGCGUGAGUGAAGAAGGUUUUCGGGUCGUAAAACUCUGUUGUUAGAGAAGAACAAGUGCUAGAGUAACUGUUAGCGCCUUGACGGUAUCUAACCAGAAAGCCACGGCUAACUACGUG
RNAcentral lists this ribosomal RNA (498 nucleotides) under uncultured bacterium. RNAcentral describes it as "partial 16S ribosomal RNA". It matches the Rfam family "Bacterial small subunit ribosomal RNA", at positions 28 to 507 of the family's 1533-position model. The record is from RNAcentral.